GUGAGGAAUUUUCCGCAAUGGGCGAAAGCCUGACGGAGCAAUGCCGCGUGAAGGAUGAAGGCCUAUGGGUUGUAAACUUCUUUUCUCAGAAAAGAAUUAUGACGGUAUCUGAGGAAUAAGCAUCGGCUAACUCUGUGCCAGCAGCCGCGGUAAGACAGAGGAUGCAAGCGUUAUCCGGAAUGAUUGGGCGUAAAGCGUCUGUAGGUUGUUUAAAAAGUAUUCUGUCAAAGAUUAGGGCUUAACCCUAGAUAGGCAGAAUAAACUUUUAAGCUAGAGUUUGGUAGAGGCAGAGGAAAUUCCCGGUGGAGCGGUGAAAUGCGUAGAUAUCGGGAGGAACACCAAAGGCGAAGGCACUCUGCUGGGCCAAUACUAACACUGAGAGACGAAAGCGAGGGGAGCAAAUGGGAUUAGAUACCCGGGUAGUCC
Molecule: ribosomal RNA, 426 nt
Filed under: uncultured bacterium
Lineage: Bacteria
Description: partial 16S ribosomal RNA
Rfam family: Bacterial small subunit ribosomal RNA
Source: RNAcentral